Long non-coding RNA from Saccostrea cuccullata (small rock oyster), 223 nucleotides. RefSeq lists it as uncharacterized. The transcript is spliced from 3 exons. Lineage: Eukaryota; Metazoa; Mollusca; Bivalvia; Ostreida; Ostreidae. The record is from RefSeq and is a predicted model, not a curated record.
AUCACAAAAUGGAUUGCCGCAUAAUUUUGAUGUUCAUUUUCUUCUUCAGAGUAUUCCAUGAACUGCCGGCCGUAAACCCUGGAAUUUGUUUUAAUAAUUCAUCUUGAAACAUCAUCACUUGCUGUCCAAAUUACUAUAAAAAUGGCAGCCUCUGUACAGGGUGUCCCCCAGGAACUUUUGGUUCAAACUGUACCCAAAAAUGUCCAUAUGGUUUUUAUGGGUA